This is a small nuclear RNA of Bos indicus x Bos taurus (hybrid cattle), 111 nucleotides long. The record is from Ensembl. NCBI's taxonomy places the organism in Eukaryota, Metazoa, Chordata, Mammalia, Artiodactyla, Bovidae.
CUGCUUCACACUCACUUUGGAAGCACACAAACUAAAAUUGGGAUACUACCAAGAUUAGCAUGGUCCCCACACAAGAAUGACACACAAAUAGGUGAAGCAUCCCAUAUUAAG